Molecule: long non-coding RNA, 2739 nt
Filed under: Pelobates cultripes (western spadefoot toad)
Lineage: Eukaryota; Metazoa; Chordata; Amphibia; Anura; Pelobatidae
Source: RNAcentral
CUCACCGAAUCAACCAAAAAUAACAUGACCUUGUGUUGAUGAAUACCUUGAAGAACAAAGUCUAUAAAGCGAAAAUACUGGUGAAUCAUUCCAUUUUGGUUCAGUUGACGGGGGCUCAGGGUGGAACACCUGUCAACAAGGGUUUAAAGCAUUCAUUACAAAAAUAUUGACAAUUCUAAGAAAAGAAUGACAUUUCUUACACGUGAAUUCACUAACAACAUCAUCUGUCAUCAUCUGCUCACUCAGAGGAGUAUAAAUAAGGCUCCUUCGUGUAGAACACUUGAUAGUUUGGAGAAUCUCUCUUCAAUUUUGGUCAAGAAGAAGAUCGCACUAAUCAAAGCCAUGUCUGGAAUCAAGGGAAAUCACAGCCACCACAAACAUGAGCAUAGUUCCAUAGUUGAACGUAAGUCAUUAUAUAUUUAUAUAUAUCUCAUUAAGGUAUAAUGAUGAAAAUAAUAAUUCUAAUUAUUUGGCACAAACUUGUAUGUAUCUUUUUUAUAGUAAAUAUUACUUAUCUAACUUUGUUAAUUUUUGUUAAUUGUUAAUUUUAUCUUACUUUGUCUUUGUAUCUAGUACUUAAGCAAAGUAUAGCAAAUCCAGUCUUUGACAAUCUGACAUUUUAUAAACUGUUCCAACGUUUUAAUGACCAUCCCGACUCUGAGUCCAAGACUAACCACUAGACAGCUUAGCUCAUGUACUAAGCCGUGUCCCUACAGUUGUAAUAGAAGAAACAGCUUCACCAGCCUAGACCAAUUUUGGAAAUGCAUGUAAAUAAUUAUUGGAAGAAUAGCUAAUACUUUUAUGUAGCAAAAAAAUAAAUAAAAUUACAAUUAAACCUCUGACUGGUUGCCCGCUUUAUAAAAAAAAGCUACAAUUAAGACAAGCAUCAUAAAAAUACUUUGCUUUUGUUUAAUGGGAUUAUUAAAGUUCCACAGAAAUGGUGAUACUUUUUUCUUUUUAUAAUCUAUUUUGACAUUUAUUAUAUUAAAAUGUAAGAACUGGUUUAUAUAAAUUAUCACUGCAUGUUUUAGUAAUGCGUUAAAGUGAGCUAAAUGUACACUCUGCCCCAAGAGGUUUACUUAUUACACACUUUUUUUUUUUCUUUUUUUUUUAUGAUAUCUUAUUAGCAGAAUAUUUUAAUUAUUAUGACUCUGAUAUGCGAUACACCAUUAUGUAUUCUCAUCCUGUAUUUAAGGCAUUAAAGGGACUCUCUAGUGCCAGGAAAACAUAUUUGUUUUCCUGGCACUGCAGGACCCUGCAGUGCCACUCUACCUCCCACCCCCAAUCCCAUGUUGCUGAAGGGGUUUAUACCCCUUCAGACACUUACCUCAAUCCAGCACCGAUGUCCCUCAGCGCUGGGUCAGGCUCUGCCCAUGCUCCUCCCCGCCAACGUCAGCUGGCGGGGGAGACAUAAUGCGCGGCAUUUACAAAUAUACAAUUUGACACUUUAAGUAGCAAGUCAGAAAAACUGCAGAAUUGCUGAAAAUAUUCCAGAUCAGCCUCUCGCUUCUGAUUACCUUAAUUUUAUAGCCAUGUUUUAUUUUAUUAUUCACUGUAAAUAGCUGUGGAAUAUUUUGACAGUAUAUAAGUGUAUAUAAUUAUUAUUUUGACCUAUAUGUUUCAAUGCUGUUUUCAAUUCACUGGAAUUCACUGCUUAGUAAAUAACCCACCAGCUUCUGUAAGCUCAAACAAUAAAAAUGACACCAGUGCGUUAACAUUUCAAAAGUUCACGAUUAUUAAUUAAUGAUAAUAAAAUGUAUCAGGCGUACUUCCUGAUGUGCAUUAAUAUAAAUCAUGUUUCAGGUGUAUAUAUUUAUCGCAAUUCACAAUGUAAAACAUGCUUCUCACUCAUAUUUUAUUUUGCAGCUUCCCAGAACGUGGAACAGCCGAACCCUCAUUGUGUGACUCCAGGUAUACACAUAUGGUAUAUUUUUUAUUGUAACUGUGUGAAGCUACAGGUGCAAGAUGCAGGUGGUGCCCAAUAAUUUAAUAAUAGCAAUCACUGUUUUCACAUUUCAGUUUCUACACUGCCUCCUGCUGAAAUACUUUUAUUCUUAUUUACUUUCUAACAUUUUUAUAACCAGUUUUAAUUGACUUGAAUAUCUAAUUUUAAUAAGAAUUAAUUAUAUUUAAAAUAAUAACACUGUAUGUACUAUGACCAUGCUCUAUGUAGUUCUUUUGCCAGUUAGUGAAGGACAAAUAUAUUGUGAGGUGCGAUUUGUCAUAUGUUUGUGCCAUAGUACAAAUAAUGGAUAUAAUAUAGAUCACGCAAUUUUAACAAAGACCGAGUUUGGGUAAGGCAGGUAAACCCAUUUGUUCAUGGCUGAAUUUAAUUAGUUUAAUUGGUUGCAAAGUGUUUGUUUUUAGGAUUUACAGACUACCAUCAUAUUUUCAGACAACUGUUUGACAUGUGAAGCACAAAGUUUUUAAGUGUAUUUUUCAUUAACAGCCUGUGUGAAUCCUGUAAUACCAGAGCCAGCCCAGAGCCAACCAGGCCCGUGUCAGCCGGUGGCGCAUGAACGAGCCCCCUGUCAGCCAAGUCAUCCAGCCACUACCCAGACAACCCCAUGGCAUGCCAAGUCAGAAUAUAAGAAAUAAGGACUUUGCCAGAAAAGAAGCCUUCAUGAUAUGAAUGAACCUCUGUGUGAAUAUAGAGCACUAAUUGAAUCAAUGAGCUUUGUAAACUAAUAUAAACUGGCAAAAUGAACCUGAUGAUAAUAAAUUCAAUUGAUUAAUCCA